This is a long non-coding RNA of Dicentrarchus labrax (European seabass), 3201 nucleotides long. RefSeq lists it as uncharacterized. The transcript is spliced from 3 exons. The record is from RefSeq and is a predicted model, not a curated record. Lineage: Eukaryota; Metazoa; Chordata; Actinopteri; Moronidae.
GGGGGGGUUUAAAGAGACAAAAAGGUCACUGGAUAUAUAUGUACUGUGUGUGUGUGUGUGUGUGUGUCAAUGCCACAGUGUGUGUGUGUGUGUGUGUCAAUGAACUUGCAGUGAGAUAAGGGCUUUAUCAAUCUGCAGCGUCUGUGUGCCGCAAGUGUAUCUUUGACUGGUGACGGCCCAGACCUGACGCAAUCCUACAGCCCCACUUAUACAACGUAGACGGGAUAUAGGGAGACAGCAGAAUGAGACGUUUUUAUCUACGGAUGGAGCGGGUCCUCUUCUGUGGAGGUCGCCAUGUUUAACUGCCAUGUUUCUACAGUAGCCCAGAACGGACAAACCAAACACUGGCUCUAGAUACGGUCUUAUUUUUCUUCACAAUUCAGGACAGCACUUGCUCACAAAUGGUCAUAUAAUUAACUGGUAGGCCGAGUAUUGACACAUUUAACUCCAGUUUUCACACAGUUUAUCCAACCAACAGUCGGGUUUUGAACAAAAUACACCACCAUAUGUGUUUAUGUUGGAGAGUGAGCGGGUAAAAUACAAUUUUCCAGCAUUUUUUGGUUAAUUUCCAUGACUGGAAAACUAGUCUCUAAAUUUCCAGAUCAUCCAGGAUGCAUGGGCACACUGCAAAAGUGAUUCAUACUUACUCCAGUUGUAAAAAUGUGUGGCCAUUACACACAGAAAUAUCAUACAUUACACUCUGACCUCGAGCCUUUUCCUCUAUAUUUUGCAGAAACUUGUUGUUGAAAAGUCUUGGAGAAAAACAUAGAAUGUAAUAGUUUUGCUUUUUUAAAGUGUUGUUUAAUGACGACAUGAUGAGAAUCACACCUGUACUGUGAACCUGGAGGGGGUUAUAAAAGACAGACGCCUGCACACAACGUGGUUGGACAUCGUCAACUGGGUUAGUAACACAAAGGUUUUCAAGGGGCAAUUCAGGUCAGCCUGGAAGAGACGAGGAAGUUUUUAUCCCAAGAAAAUGAGCCCCGGCCAAGACCGAGAGAGCUGCAUGUUAAAGACAAGCUCACGACAAAAGUAUGUUUAAACACUCGCUGAAACAGAACGAGGAAAGAGCACAGUUCAGACGCUCCCAGAUGGAUGUAAUGGAAAAUUCCUGCGCUGAUUCCUGUAAGGUUGUUCGUCGCUGAAAGGCCUCCAGAGGAGCACGAGACUGACAGGAACUCCUCCCCCUCCCAAAGCAUUACAUAAACUCCAGAACAUCUGCAUCAUAUAUCAUCGCCGAGCCUGACUCAUCAGAUUGCGCCUGACGGGGCCGAGCAGCUGCAGAGCGAUGGGGAGACAUUUAAAUUAAGUUUUUUCUCAGCCUGUCGUGCGAUGAUAAUGAAGGACAGAUGGACUCCUGCAACCGGUUUUAAUAUUUGAAUCGACAAAUGUGAAGAGUUUUUGUCAUCCUGAGCAUGAAAAGUGUCAAAAGAAUAUCAAGAAUAUAAAAAGUGGCAUUUUAAAGAGUAUAUAACUUUAUACAAUAGACCUUCUUAUUGGUUUAUUUGCCCUUUUCCUGCAAUUUAGUGCAUAAAGUUGAAAACAUUUUAAAUAAAGCUAAAUACCAAAUAAUUAAUUUCUUUAUAAAAUGGAAAACGGAUGGAGUUUAGAUGCAUGACAAUGUAUUUAAAAUACAAAACUCCACUUCCUGUGACUUUUCCUGUACUUUAUCAGAUACUUUUAAAGGUGAACAAAGUGCAAUACAGGCUCUGAAAUGUACUCAAAGUAGUCUUUGUCGUGGGCGAUGUGCCUUUUGUCUUGGCGUUUAAGAAGGCGUACAAUGAUGCAAAAAAAAUACAAAUUUCAAGUAUCGAAGCUGUUAUUUAUGUAAAACUGUAGACGGCUAGAAGUAAAAAGUCACUACUUUGGCUCCUUCCAACCUCUUUAAAUCUCUACAUACAGUUUCUUUAAUGAUAAUAGAUUUAAAAUACAAAACUCCACUUCCUGUGACUUUUCCUGUACUUAAUCAGUUACUUUUAAUGCAGUACAGGCUCUAAAAUGUACUCAAAGUAUAAAAGUUAUAAAAGUAAUCUCUUGGUUUCUCUGAAGGACAUUUCUACCGACUGUUUCUGUUCAAAACUAACUGCAACUUCAAAUAGUUUUGUCUAUUAAUUAUAAGGCUGUCGUGCGCAAUGUGCACCUGUGUUAACGUUUAAGAAGGCGUGCAAUGAUGCAAGUGAAUUAAAACGUAAAAAUGUAGACGGCUAGAAGUGCAAACUCACUACUUUGGCUCCUUCCAACCUCUGUUGGGAUAAAUAAAGUAUCUAUCUAUCUAUCUAUCUAUCUAUCUAUCUAUCUAUCUAUCUAUCUAUCUAUCUAUCUAUCUAUCUAUCUAUCUAUCUAUCUAUCUAUCUAUCUAUCUAUCUAUCUACAGUUUCUUUAAUGACUGAAUCUGCCCCUCACGCUCACAGCUAAAUGUUCAACUUUGAUCGCAGGUAAAAGUCCACUGUCGUCUAAUAAAGGAUUAGACGACAGUGGACUUUUACCUGCGCUGCCAUUGAACUUUCCAGCUGCAGCACAUUCUUUCUUUCUUCACUCUUUAUACUUUGCAUAAUGAAGGUCAACUCUCAGAGCUGAAGGUUCAGGCUUUGUGGAACGAGAGCACGGUCAGUCCACGAUCUAAACCCCUCUGACCAUCCAGUCUGAACUUUAAACUUUGAUUGCUGUGAAGUAAGAGGGAAUAGUUUCUCUUGGACAAACGGAUCGAAGGACGGCUGCAGACAUGACCUCAUCCAAUCAGUUUUCAGGCCGCAUGCAGGACGGGGUGGAUUUAACAGAAAUGGGUUACCCAGAAAGUCCUAUUAAUGUGGCCAGGCCUUGAAUCAAAGCCAAUGAUCCCUCUAGCAGCACGUAUCUCUUAUCUCUCUCUAAUCUGAAGGAAUUUUAGAAUAAAGCAGGAACGUCUAGUUCGAUACCAGGAACCUUAUAGCUCUUUUAGCGGGCUGCUGUGUCGAGUUUCCUUCCUCAUAAAAUAUUUAAUCUAUAAGAUAAAGGUUUAUUCGAGAGCGUAUUUUCAUUAAGAAAUUGGCAUUAAGCACUGAGCUCAGUGGGUUUUUUUUAUUUUAUUGGAUUUUGGUUAGAGGUCUGAAAUAAGGUCUGAAAUAAACACAAGCUUAAGUUUUGUUUUGUUUGUCACAUUUUGUUCUAUGAUGUAAAAUACAUCAGUACUUACUUUUCGCCUUUACAGCUUUACAGCUUAUG